AGAUUCUCCCCAGACGCCAAGGUUGCGGGUCAUGGAGUCCCGAACCCUCCUCCUGCUGUUCUCGGGAGCCGUGGCCCUGAUCCAGACCUGGGCAGAUUACAAUUACAAUCAAGGCAGAAAUGAUCUCAUUUUUACAUUACAACUCUGGAAAAGGCAAUAGACUGAGAUGCAAGUGUGCCCCCAAGUGAUGGGCAGAAGGAGAGAAGGUGUUUUGGAUGCAUUCUAGAACACAGGAAUGGUCCUGCUUUGGUGUCCCUGGUGUGACCCAUCACCCGCUGGGAACAGCCUGAGAGAAGUAGGGCCUCUGCACCAAUGCUGCUGAGGAUGUCAGAGCACAGGAACGAGGCCUUGGGAAAUUACCUGGAAAUGCGACUGAAAUCUUCCUUCCUGAGGGGUCUGGGCUCUUGGAAAUCAAACCCUCUCAGGUUGGGUGGCUGGACGAUUCUCCUCACACUUACAAUGGGA
Molecule: long non-coding RNA, 465 nt
Organism: Homo sapiens (human)
Lineage: Eukaryota; Metazoa; Chordata; Mammalia; Primates; Hominidae
Gene: HCP5
Product: HLA complex P5
Source: Ensembl